GAGUGAGGGCCCAGUGUUGCAUAGAUUUCAGGUGUGGAUUUCAGUAACUGAAGUCACAGUAUUUGGAAACAAUUUCACAAAAUGUCAAAAUGACAAACAACAAGCA
Long non-coding RNA from Sinocyclocheilus rhinocerous, 106 nucleotides. RefSeq lists it as uncharacterized. The record is from RefSeq and is a predicted model, not a curated record. The transcript is spliced from 3 exons. NCBI's taxonomy places the organism in Eukaryota, Metazoa, Chordata, Actinopteri, Cypriniformes, Cyprinidae.